Molecule: transfer RNA, 73 nt
Filed under: Triticum aestivum (bread wheat)
Lineage: Eukaryota; Viridiplantae; Streptophyta; Magnoliopsida; Poales; Poaceae
Description: tRNA_PseudoCTT
Source: RNAcentral
CCCCCACCAUGGGGCUCGAACCCACGUCCAUAAGGUUAAGAGCCUUGUGCUCUACCAACUAAGCAAUAUAUCC